UGCAUAUCCAAAAAGCGGAGGAAAAGAAACCAACAGGGAUUGCCUUAGUAACGGCGAGUGAAGCGGCAAAAGCUCAAAUUUGAAAUCUGGCACCUUCGGUGUCCGAGUUGUAAUUUGAAGAAGGUAACUUUGGAGUUGGCUCUUGUCUAUGUUCCUUGGAACAGGACGUCACAGAGGGUGAGAAUCCCGUGCGAUGAGAUGCCCAAUUCUAUGUAAAGUGCUUUCGAAGAGUCGAGUUGUUUGGGAAUGCAGCUCUAAGUGGGUGGUAAAUUCCAUCUAAAGCUAAAUAUUGGCGAGAGACCGAUAGCGAACAAGUACAGUGAUGGAAAGAUGAAAAGAACUUUGAAAAGAGAGUGAAAAAGUACGUGAAAUUGUUGAAAGGGAAGGGCUUGAGAUCAGACUUGGUAUUUUGCGAUCCUUUCCUUCUUGGUUGGGUUCCUCGCAGCUUACUGGGCCAGCAUCGGUUUGGAUGGUAGGAUAAUGACUAAGGAAUGUGGCUCUACUUCGGUGGAGUGUUAUAGCCUUGGUUGAUACUGCCUGUCUAGACCGAGGACUGCGUCUUUGACUAGGAUGCUGGCAUAAUGAUCUUAAGCCACCCGUCUUGA
Molecule: ribosomal RNA, 605 nt
Filed under: Debaryomyces hansenii
Lineage: Eukaryota; Fungi; Ascomycota; Pichiomycetes; Serinales; Debaryomycetaceae
Description: eukaryotic LSU rRNA
Rfam family: Eukaryotic large subunit ribosomal RNA
Source: RNAcentral